RNAcentral lists this ribosomal RNA (496 nucleotides) under uncultured bacterium. RNAcentral describes it as "partial 16S ribosomal RNA". It matches the Rfam family "Bacterial small subunit ribosomal RNA", at positions 28 to 506 of the family's 1533-position model. The record is from RNAcentral.
GAUGAACGCUGGCGGCGUGCCUAAUACAUGCAAGUCGAGCGAACGGACGAGAAGCUUGCUUCUCUGAUGUUAGCGGCGGACGGGUGAGUAACACGUGGAUAACCUACCUAUAAGACUGGGAUAACUUCGGGAAACCGUAGCUAAUACCGGAUAAUAUUUUGAACCGCAUGGUUCAAAAGUGAAAGACGGUCUUGCUGUCACUUAUAGAUGGAUCCGCGCUGCAUUAGCUAGUUGGUAAGGUAACGGCUUACCAAGGCAACGAUGCAUAGCCGACCUGAGAGGGUAAUCGGCACACCGGAAAAUGAGCACAGGCCAAACAUCCAAGGGAGGGAAGAGGAGGGGAACCUUCGGAAAUGGGAGAAGGCUUGCGGGGGAACGGCCGGGGGAGGAAGGAAGGUUUUGGGAUGGUAAACCCUGGUUAUAAGGAAGAAACAAUGGUGAAGGUAAUUGUGACGAUCUUGACGGACCCUAUCAAGAAGGCAACGGUUAACAACUG